GAAAAAGAAUUGCAAGAACUGCUAAUUCAUGCGCCCCAUACUUAAUAAUAUGGCUUUUUCAA
RNAcentral lists this transfer RNA (62 nucleotides) under Orcaella brevirostris (Irrawaddy dolphin). RNAcentral's name for it is "tRNA-Ser". The record is from RNAcentral. Lineage: Eukaryota; Metazoa; Chordata; Mammalia; Artiodactyla; Delphinidae.